AACGAACGCUGGCGGCGUGCUUAACACAUGCAAGUCGAACGCGAAAGGGACUUCGGUCCUGAGUAGAGUGGCGCACGGGUGAGUAACGCGUAAGUAAUCUACCCCUGUAUUCGGAAUAACCUACCGAAAGGUGAGCUAAUACCGGAUACGUUUAUCUUGAUGCGAAUGAUGAUAAAGAAAGGUGGCCUCUUCAUGAAAGCUACUGUACAGGGAUGAGCUUGCGUACCAUUAGCUAGUUGGUAGGGUAAUGGCCUACCAAGGCGACGAUGGUUAGCGGGUCUGAGAGGAUGAUCCGCCACACUGGAACUGAAACACGGACCAGACUCCUACGGGAGGCAGCAGUGAGGAAUAUUGCGCAAUGGGGGCAACCCUGACGCAGCGACGCCGCGUGGAUGAUGAAGGCCUUUGGGUCGUAAAAUCCUGUCAGAUGGAAAGAAAUGUAAGGUGGCUAAUAUCUGCCUUAUUUGACGGUACCAUCAAAGGAAGCACCGGCUAACUCCGUGCCAGCAGCCGCGGUAA
This 519-nucleotide ribosomal RNA is filed under the name uncultured bacterium. Its description in RNAcentral is "partial 16S ribosomal RNA". It matches the Rfam family "Bacterial small subunit ribosomal RNA", at positions 29 to 523 of the family's 1533-position model. The record is from RNAcentral.